CUCAACUUUGAUUUUGUACAAUUUGGUCCUCAGAUUUUGACUUCCAUUUCGAUUUUGACCUCCAUAAAUUGCAUCCCAAAUCCCCACUUUUUGACUUGUUUGCCUUGGCCUCCAACUUCACAAUUUUGUACAAUUUUAGUCAUUUUCCUCAUUUUUCCUCAUUUUGCCUUGUUUUCUUUCCUUUGGGUGAUUUUUACGUACAAAAGUAAAUAUUACUUAACUAUGAGUAGAAUUUCAUUCUUUUCAUUAAUAAUUAUAUCAAAUUAAGUGCCCAAUAAGUGUGCAAAAACACACUUAUCACACCCCCAAACUUAAACUCUUGCUCGUCUCGAGCAAGAUUAUCUAUCACACAAGCAAGCAAACGUGAU
Molecule: long non-coding RNA, 368 nt
Filed under: Olea europaea subsp. europaea
Lineage: Eukaryota; Viridiplantae; Streptophyta; Magnoliopsida; Lamiales; Oleaceae
Source: RNAcentral